RNAcentral lists this ribosomal RNA (924 nucleotides) under uncultured bacterium. RNAcentral's name for it is "bacterial SSU rRNA". It matches the Rfam family "Bacterial small subunit ribosomal RNA", at positions 8 to 916 of the family's 1533-position model. The record is from RNAcentral.
AGAGUUUGAUCAUGGCUCAGGACGAACGCUGGCGGCGUGCCUAAUACAUGCAAGUCGAGCGGAACCAUUGGAGCUUGCUCCUUUGGUUUAGCGGCGGACGGGUGAGUAACACGUGGGCAACCUGCCCUGCAGAUCGGGAUAACUCCGGGAAACCGGUGCUAAUACCGAAUAGUUUGCGGCCUCUCAUGAGGCUGUACGGAAAGACGGUUUCGGCUGUCACUGCAGGAUGGGCCCGCGGCGCAUUAGCUAGUUGGUGAGGUAACGGCUCACCAAGGCCACGAUGCGUAGCCGACCUAAGAGGGUGAUCGGCCACACUGGGACUGUGACACGGCCCAGACUCCUACGGGAGGCAGCAGUAGGGAAUCUUCCGCAAUGGACGAAAGUCUGAUGGAGCAACGCCGCGUGAGUGAAGAAGGUUUUCGGAUCGUAAAACUCUGUUGUGAGGGAAGAACAAGUACCAAUUAACUACUGGUACCUUGACGGUACCUCACCAGAAAGCCACGGCUAACUACGUGCCAGCAGCCGCGGUAAUACGUAGGUGGCAAGCGUUGUCCGGAAUUAUUGGGCGUAAAGCGCGCGCAGGCGGUCCUUUAAGUCUGAUGUGAAAGCCCACGGCUCAACCGUGGAGGGUCAUUGGAAACUGGGGGACUUGAGUGCAGAAGAGGAAAGUGGAAUUCCACGUGUAGCGGUGAAAUGCGUAGAGAUGUGGAGGAACACCAGUGGCGAAGGCGACUUUCUGGUCUGUAACUGACGCUGAGGCGCGAAAGCGUGGGGAGCAAACAGGAUUAGAUACCCUGGUAGUCCACGCCGUAAACGAUGAGUGCUAAGUGUUAGGGGUUUCCGCCCCUUAGUGCUGCAGCUAACGCAUUAAGCACUCCGCCUGGGGAGUACGGCCGCAAGGCUGAAACUCAAAUGAAUUGACGG